GACGUGUUUGUUUCCUGGUAGCGUGCAUGGGGAUUUUUGACGUGGGCUCUUUGGCAUUACUGGCCAAAAAAUUGGUUGACUUUUCCACGAUCUUCGUUGCAUGAAAAUAGGUUUUAUUGCCUCUUCUUUACUUUUUUUUGCAUUUAUUACAUAUUCUGUGCAUGCAUGGUUAUUUCUUGGGUAAAAGUACGUUAAUCCUAUUAUUUUG
Molecule: long non-coding RNA, 208 nt
Filed under: Gossypium raimondii (Peruvian cotton)
Lineage: Eukaryota; Viridiplantae; Streptophyta; Magnoliopsida; Malvales; Malvaceae
Description: long non-coding RNA (GRAI_LNC005625)
Source: RNAcentral